RNAcentral lists this ribosomal RNA (902 nucleotides) under Dehalococcoidia bacterium. Its description in RNAcentral is "bacterial SSU rRNA". It matches the Rfam family "Bacterial small subunit ribosomal RNA", at positions 1 to 920 of the family's 1533-position model. The record is from RNAcentral. Lineage: Bacteria; Bacillati; Chloroflexota; Dehalococcoidia.
ACUUAGAGUUUGAUCCUGGCUCAGGACGAACGCUGGCGGUGCGCUUAAUGCAUGCAAGUCGAACGAGAACGGCGGCUUCGGUCGCUAAGUAAAGUGGCAGACGGCUGAGUAACACGUAAGUAACCAACCCCGGAGCGGGGAAUAAUCAUGAGAAAUCGUGCCUAAUACCCCGUACGUCCCAACAGGCGUUGCCGUUGGGGGAAAGGCUUCGGUCGCUCUGGGACGGGCUUGCGGCCUAUCAGGUAGUUGGUGGGGUAAAGGCCCACCAAGCCGUAGACGGGUACCCGGUGUGAGAGCACGAACGGGCAGAGGGGGACUGAGACACGGCCCCCACUCCUACGGGAGGCAGCAGCAGGGAAUCUUGCGCAAUGGGCGAAAGCCUGACGCAGCGACACCGCGUGGAGGAAGAAGGCUUUCGGGUCGUAAACUCCUUUUCUCGGGGAAGAGAACGGACGGUACCCGAGGAAUAAGCAUCGGCUAACUACGUGCCAGCAGCCGCGGUAAUACGUAGGAUGCGAGCGUUGUCCGGAUUUACUGGGCGUAAAGGGCGAGUAGGCGGCCCGCUAAGUCUCAUGUGAAAUCUCCCGGCUCAACUGGGAGGGGUCAUGAGAAACUGGCAGGCUUGAGGUCAGCAGAGGAAAGCGGAAUUCCCGGAGUAGCGGUGAUAUGCGUAGAUACCGGGAGGAACACCAGAGGCGAAGGCGGCUUUCUGGGCUGCACCUGACGCUGAGGCGCGAAAGCGUGGGGAGCGAACCGGAUUAGAUACCCGGGUAGUCCACGCCCUAAAUGGUGGAUACUAGACAUGGGGGGUAUCGACCCCCUCUGUGUCGUAGUUAACGCGUUAAGUAUCCCGCCUGGGGAGUACGGCCGCAAGGCUAAAACUCAAAGGAAUUGACGGGGGC